GAUGAAGAACGUAGCGAAAUGCGAUAAGUAAUGUGAAUUGCAGAAUUCAGUGAAUCAUCGAAUCUUUGAACGCACAUUGCGCCCGCCAGCAUUCUGGCGGGCAUGCCUGUUCGAGCGUCAUUUCAACCCUCGAGCCCCCCCGGGGGCCUCGGUGUUGGGGGACGGCACACCAGCCGCCCCCGAAAUGCAGUGGCGACCCCGCCGCAGCCUCCCCUGCGUAGUAGCACACACCUCGCACCGGAGCGCGGAGGCGGUCACGCCGUAAAACGCCCAACUUUCUUAGAGUUGACCUCGGAUCAGGUAGGAAUACUCGCUGAACUUAAGCAUAUCAAUAAGCGGAGGA
This 343-nucleotide unclassified non-coding RNA is filed under the name soil metagenome. Its description in RNAcentral is "partial contains 5.8S ribosomal RNA, internal transcribed spacer 2, and large subunit ribosomal RNA". The stretch from base 1 to 120 matches the Rfam family "5.8S ribosomal RNA", at positions 35 to 154 of the family's 154-position model. The record is from RNAcentral.